RNAcentral lists this ribosomal RNA (468 nucleotides) under uncultured bacterium. Its description in RNAcentral is "partial 16S ribosomal RNA". It matches the Rfam family "Bacterial small subunit ribosomal RNA", at positions 28 to 507 of the family's 1533-position model. The record is from RNAcentral.
GAUGAACGCUGGCGGCGUGCUUAACACAUGCAAGUCGAACGGAAAGGCCCUGCUUUUGUGGGGUGCUCGAGUGGCGAACGGGUGAGUAACACGUGAGUAACCUGCCCUUGACUUUGGGAUAACUUCAGGAAACUGGGGCUAAUACCGGAUAGGAGCUCCUGCUGCAUGGUGGGGGUUGGAAAGUUUCGGCGGUUGGGGAUGGACUCGCGGCUUAUCAGCUUGUUGGUGGGGUAGUGGCUUACCAAGGCUUUGACGGGUAGCCGGCCUGAGAGGGUGACCGGCCACAUUGGGACUGCGAUACGGCCCAGACUCCUACGGGGGGCAGCAGUGGGGAAUAUUGCACAAUGGGCGGAAGCCUGAUGCAGCAACGCCGCGUGCGGGAUGACGGCCUUCGGGUUGUAAACCGCUUUCGCCUGUGACGAAGCGUGAGUGACGGUAAUGGGUAAAGAAGCACCGGCUAACUACGUG